RNAcentral lists this ribosomal RNA (253 nucleotides) under uncultured bacterium. RNAcentral's name for it is "partial 16S ribosomal RNA". It matches the Rfam family "Bacterial small subunit ribosomal RNA", at positions 524 to 776 of the family's 1533-position model. The record is from RNAcentral.
UACGUAGGUGGCGAGCGUUGUCCGGGUUUACUGGGCGUAAAGGGAGCGUAGGCGGGCUUUUAAGUGAGAUGUGAAAUACUCGGGCUCAACUUGAGUGCUGCAUUUCAAACUGGAAGUCUAGAGUGCAGGAGAGGAGAAUGGAAUUCCUAGUGUAGCGGUGAAAUGCGUAGAGAUUAGGAAGAACACCAGUGGCGAAGGCGAUUCUCUGGACUGUAACUGACGCUGAGGCUCGAAAGCGUGGGGAGCAAACGGG